GAUGAACGCUGGCGGCGUGCCUAAUACAUGCAAGUCGAGCGAACAGAUAAGGAGCUUGCUCCUUUGACGUUAGCGGCGGACGGGUGAGUAACACGUGGGUAACCUACCUAUAAGACUGGGAUAACUUCGGGAAACCGGAGCUAAUACCGGAUAACAUUUGGAACCGCAUGGUUCUAAAGUGAAAGAUGGUUUUGCUAUCACUUAUAGAUGGACCCGCGCCGUAUUAGCUAGUUGGUAAGGUAACGGCUUACCAAGGCGACGAUACGUAGCCGACCUGAGAGGGUGGUCCGCCACACUGGAACUGAGACACGGUCCAGACUCCUACGGGAGGACGCAGUAGGGAAUCUUCCGCAAUGGGCGAAAGCCUGACGGAGCAACGCCGCGUGAGUGAUGAAGGGUUUCGGCUCGUAAAACUCUGUUAUUAGGGAAGAACAAAUGUGUAAGUAACUGUGCACGUCUUGACGGUACCUAAUCAGAAAGCCACGGCUAACUACGUG
RNAcentral lists this ribosomal RNA (497 nucleotides) under uncultured bacterium. Its description in RNAcentral is "partial 16S ribosomal RNA". It matches the Rfam family "Bacterial small subunit ribosomal RNA", at positions 28 to 507 of the family's 1533-position model. The record is from RNAcentral.